UACGUAGGGGGCUAGCGUUGUCCGGAAUCAUUGGGCGUAAAGAGCGUGUAGGCGGCCCGGUAAGUCCGCUGUAAAAGUCAAAGGCUCAACCUUUGAAUGUCAGUGGAUACUGCCGGGCUAGAGUCCGGAAGAGGCGAGUGGAACUCCUGGUGUAGCGGUGGAAUGCGCAGAUAUCAGGAAGAACACCAAUUGCGAAGGCAGCUCGCUGGGACGUUACUGACGCUGAGACGCGAAAGCGUGGGGAGCAAACAGG
RNAcentral lists this ribosomal RNA (253 nucleotides) under uncultured bacterium. Its description in RNAcentral is "partial 16S ribosomal RNA". It matches the Rfam family "Bacterial small subunit ribosomal RNA", at positions 524 to 776 of the family's 1533-position model. The record is from RNAcentral.